Molecule: ribosomal RNA, 282 nt
Filed under: uncultured bacterium
Lineage: Bacteria
Description: partial 16S ribosomal RNA
Rfam family: Bacterial small subunit ribosomal RNA
Source: RNAcentral
UUUGUCCUACGGGGCGCAGCAGUGGGGAAUAUUGCGCAAUGGGCGAAAGCCUGACGCAGCGACGCCGCGUGAGGGAUGAAGGUCUUCGGAUCGUAAACCUCUGUCAGCAGGGAAGAACGGUCACUGUGCUAAUCAGCAGUGAAUUGACGGUACCUGCAAAGGAAGCACCGGCUAACUCCGUGCCAGCAGCCGCGGUAAUACGGAGGGUGCGAGCGUUAAUCGGAAUUACUGGGAGUAAAGCGCUGGUAGGCGGUAUGUCAAGUCAAGGGAGAAAUCCCCGCG